Molecule: ribosomal RNA, 435 nt
Filed under: uncultured bacterium
Lineage: Bacteria
Description: bacterial SSU rRNA
Rfam family: Bacterial small subunit ribosomal RNA
Source: RNAcentral
AACGCGAAGAACCUUACCUAAGCUUGACAUCCUUUUGACCGAUGCCUAAUCGCAUCUUUCCCUUCGGGGACAGAAGUGACAGGUGGUGCAUGGUUGUCGUCAGCUCGUGUCGUGAGAUGUUGGGUUAAGUCCCGCAACGAGCGCAACCCUUGCCUUUAGUUGCCAUCAUUAAGUUGGGCACUCUAGAGGGACUGCCAGGGAUAACCUGGAGGAAGGUGGGGAUGACGUCAAAUCAUCAUGCCCCUUAUGCUUAGGGCUACACACGUGCUACAAUGGGUGGUACAGAGGGCAGCCAAGUCGUGAGGCGGAGCUAAUCCCUUAAAGCCAUUCUCAGUUCGGAUUGUAGGCUGAAACUCGCCUACAUGAAGCUGGAGUUACUAGUAAUCGCAGAUCAGAAUGCUGCGGUGAAUGCGUUCCCGGGUCUUGUACACACCG